RNAcentral lists this ribosomal RNA (483 nucleotides) under uncultured bacterium. RNAcentral describes it as "partial 16S ribosomal RNA". It matches the Rfam family "Bacterial small subunit ribosomal RNA", at positions 30 to 506 of the family's 1533-position model. The record is from RNAcentral.
AUUGAACGCUGGCGGCAGGCCUAACACAUGCAAGUCGAGCGGAUGAAGGGAGCUUGCUCCUGGAUUCAGCGGCGGACGGGUGAGUAAUGCCUAGGAAUCUGCCUGGUAGUGGGGGAUAACGUCCGGAAACGGGCGCUAAUACCGCAUACGUCCUGAGGGAGAAAGUGGGGGAUCUUCGGACCUCACGCUAUCAGAUGAGCCUAGGUCGGAUUAGCUAGUUGGUGGGGUAAAGGCCUACCAAGGCGACGAUCCGUAACUGGUCUGAGAGGAUGAUCAGUCACACUGGAACUGAGACACGGUCCAGACUCCUACGGGAGGCAGCAGUGGGGAAUAUUGGACAAUGGGCGAAAGCCUGAUCCAGCCAUGCCGCGUGUGUGAAGAAGGUCUUCGGAUUGUAAAGCACCUUAAGUUGGGAGGAAGGGCAGUAAGUUAAUACCUGGCUGUUUUGACGUUACCAACAGAAUAAGCACCGGCUAACUUCGU